GGGAUCUGCUGGAGCACAAAAGCACCUCCAUAGCAGAUUCAUCAGCAGAAUGAACAGGGCUGCAUUUUCAGACAGAGUGUUUAGGUUGGAAGCAUCUGAGAUCCUGUGGGUGUCUGGCAGUCAGGAAGAACACGGUGGAUAAAGGUUAGGUCUCCUGGCACUGCCUCCCCACAUUUAUUUGAGAGUGGAGCUGUUGGAG
Corapipo altera (White-ruffed manakin) is the source of this 199-nucleotide long non-coding RNA. RefSeq lists it as uncharacterized. Lineage: Eukaryota; Metazoa; Chordata; Aves; Passeriformes; Pipridae. The record is from RefSeq and is a predicted model, not a curated record. The transcript has 3 exons.